This 301-nucleotide ribosomal RNA is filed under the name uncultured bacterium. RNAcentral's name for it is "partial 16S ribosomal RNA". It matches the Rfam family "Bacterial small subunit ribosomal RNA", at positions 509 to 807 of the family's 1533-position model. The record is from RNAcentral.
CAGUCGCCGCGGGAAUACGUAGGGUGCGAGCGUUAAUCGGAAUUACUGGGCGUAAAGCGUGCGCAGGCGGUUAUAUAAGACAGAUGUGAAAUCCCCGGGCUCAACCUGGGACCUGCAUUUGUGACUGUAUAGCUAGAGUACGGUAGAGGGGGAUGGAAUUCCGCGUGUAGCAGUGAAAUGCGUAGAUAUGCGGAGGAACACCGAUGGCGAAGGCGGCAACCUGGUCCAUGACUGACGCUGAGGUGCGAAAGCGUGGGGAGCAAACAGGAUUAGAUACCCCAGUAGUCCCUGUCUCUUAUAC